GAUGAACGCUGGCGGCGUGCUUAACACAUGCAAGUCGAACGGAAAGGCUCCUGCUUGCAGGGGUACUCGAGUGGCGAACGGGUGAGUAACACGUGGGUGAUCUGCCCUGCACUUCGGGAUAAGCCUGGGAAACUGGGUCUAAUACCGGAUAGGACCACAUUUUGGAUGGUGUGGUGGAAAGUUUUUCGGUGUGGGAUGAGCUCGCGGCCUAUCAGCUUGUUGGUGGGGUAAUGGCCUACCAAGGCGUCGACGGGUAGCCGGCCUGAGAGGGUGUACGGCCACAUUGGGACUGAGAUACGGCCCAGACUCCUACGGGAGGCAGCAGUGGGGAAUGUUGCACAAUGGGCGCAAGCCUGAUGCAGCGACGCCGCGUGGGGGAUGACGGCCUUCGGGUUGUAAACUCCUUUCGCUAGGGACGAAGCGUUUUUGUGACGGUACCUGGAGAAGAAGCACCGGCUAACUACGUG
This 467-nucleotide ribosomal RNA is filed under the name uncultured bacterium. Its description in RNAcentral is "partial 16S ribosomal RNA". It matches the Rfam family "Bacterial small subunit ribosomal RNA", at positions 28 to 507 of the family's 1533-position model. The record is from RNAcentral.